GAGUCCGUGGCCGAAUGGUUGAGGCACCAAACUUUUAAUUUGGGUGAUGUGGGUUCGAGUCCCACCGGGCUUACUA
This 76-nucleotide transfer RNA is filed under the name Deltaproteobacteria bacterium. RNAcentral describes it as "tRNA-Lys". It matches the Rfam family "tRNA". Rfam says of the family: Transfer RNA (tRNA) molecules are approximately 80 nucleotides in length. Their secondary structure includes four short double-helical elements and three loops (D, anti-codon, and T loops). The record is from RNAcentral. Lineage: Bacteria; Pseudomonadati; Myxococcota; Myxococcia.